This is a non-coding RNA of Biomphalaria pfeifferi, 551 nucleotides long. The record is from the annotation of a GenBank genome assembly. NCBI's taxonomy places the organism in Eukaryota, Metazoa, Mollusca, Gastropoda, Planorbidae.
AUAUUUUGGUUUCAUUUAUUUUUCAUGGAUGGUAGAAGAGUCAAAUACUAUUAAAAAGUUGAAGUAUUAGCAGCAAAAGGUCAAAGAGUCUUGACAUAACAUUAUCACAACCUCACACAGGUCUAAGUAAAACACUAAGCAGAGAUAUGUACACACAUACACACAAGUUCAACAAAACAUACGCAAAUAUAUUAUUUAGUGCUAGCAUGGUUACUGAGAAGUGAACCAGGCAACACUGAAUAUCUGGUGAGGAGUAGUUUAACUUUGUGUAGAUCUAAUUCAAUCUAAUUCACUGAAGGAUCGUUAAGUUUAGUAGCAUUGGCAACACAUAGGCCUACUAUCUGUGGAAAACUCAACAUCAGGAAGUAAAAUAAAGCUGGAGAGCACGAGUGCCCUACAGCAUCCUUUAGAGCAAAUAAACUUGAACUUGCUUACACUGAGCUCAAGUGUUUUCUGUAACAUUACUACAGCAAUGUUUCAGGCAUUAACUUUCUAUAGCAGCUGUCACAUCCUAGUGGCAGUUCCAGACAUUGGGGGGGGGGGGGGGGGGG